GGUGUCCUACGGGGGGCAGCAGUGGGGAAUAUUGGGCAAUGGGCGCAAGCCUGACCCAGCAAUGCCGCGUGAAGGAAGAAGGCCUUCGGGUUGUAAACUUCUUUUAUCAGGGACGAAGGAUGUGACGGUACCUGAUGAAUAAGCUCCGGCUAACUACGUGCCAGCAGCCGCGGUAAUACGUAGGGAGCAAGCGUUAUCCGGAUUUACUGGGUGUAAAGGGCGCGUAGGCGGGAUGGCAAGUCAGAUGUGAAAACUCAGGGCUCAACCCUGAGCCUGCAUUUGAAACUGUGUUUCUUGAGUGCUGG
RNAcentral lists this ribosomal RNA (305 nucleotides) under uncultured bacterium. RNAcentral's name for it is "bacterial SSU rRNA". It matches the Rfam family "Bacterial small subunit ribosomal RNA", at positions 333 to 652 of the family's 1533-position model. The record is from RNAcentral.